Girardinichthys multiradiatus is the source of this 594-nucleotide long non-coding RNA. RefSeq lists it as uncharacterized. The record is from RefSeq and is a predicted model, not a curated record. Lineage: Eukaryota; Metazoa; Chordata; Actinopteri; Cyprinodontiformes; Goodeidae. The transcript is spliced from 3 exons.
CUGCUCUGAAAGACAGAGGUAUCUAACUUUUUCCCCAACACAGUUGCAUGAUUUAGAAGAGUAAGAGCUGUAAAACUGCUGGUUUUACUGCAGCUAAAUCUUUCUAAUUGGAUGAACCGUUACUUAAAAGCUGAACAAUUCCAACUUCAACUAAAUCAAGAACAACAUUCAAACUGAGUGACAGAGGAUUCUGCAGUGAGUUCAGAAACAGAAACACAAAACCUUCUAUCCUCCCUGAACACCGUAUGUGAAAGCCCCGACUUCCUUCUUCGAGCCCAGAGCACAAUUGGCCUCACUUAGGCUUAUUAGCCAGAUACAUCACCCUCUCUUUCAAGUGCAUGGCAACCAUAUAAUCAGGCCGAUUCACACCUUCACACACUUGAUCUCAGCGUGUCACCUCCAAUGACUCCUCCAGCCUUUAGAUGACAGUUAAAUAUUCAUGACAUUAAUGUUGAGAUUUUAUUUCUGCCUGGAGCCUGUUUGACUCCAACUCAGUGGGGUCAGAGUUCCAUCUUACCAACCUUUUCCCACGCUGCAAUACCUCAGUUUGAAGAACUGUUGAAAUGAAAAUAUACCAAAAGGCUGCAUGGUGUG